This 497-nucleotide ribosomal RNA is filed under the name uncultured bacterium. Its description in RNAcentral is "partial 16S ribosomal RNA". It matches the Rfam family "Bacterial small subunit ribosomal RNA", at positions 28 to 507 of the family's 1533-position model. The record is from RNAcentral.
GAUGAACGCUGGCGGCGUGCCUAAUACAUGCAAGUAGAACGCUGAAGGAAGGAGCUUGCUCUUUCCGGAUGAGUUGCGAACGGGUGAGUAACGCGUAGGUAACCUGCCUGGUAGCGGGGGAUAACUAUUGGAAACGAUAGCUAAUACCGCAUAACAGUAGAUGUUGCAUGAUAUCUACUUAAAAGGUGCAAUUGCACCACUACCAGAUGGACCUGCGUUGUAUUAGCUAGUUGGUGAGGUAACGGCUCACCAAGGCGACGAUACAUAGCCGACCUGAGAGGGUGAUCGGCCACACUGGGACUGAGACACGGCCCAGACUCCUACGGGAGGCAGCAGUAGGGAAUCUUCGGCAAUGGACGGAAGUCUGACCGAGCAACGCCGCGUGAGUGAAGAAGGUCUUCGGAUCGUAAAGCUCUGUUGUAAGAGAAGAACGAGUGUGAGAGUGGAAAGUUCACACUGUGACGGUAUCUUACCAGAAAGGGACGGCUAACUACGUG